GGGUUGUGAGGUUAAGCGACUAAGCGUACACGGUGGAUGCCCUGGCAGUCAGAGGCGAUGAAGGACGUGCUAAUCUGCGAUAAGCGUCGGUAAGGUGAUAUGAACCGUUAUAACCGGCGAUUUCCGAAUGGGGAAACCCAGUGUGUUUCGACACACUAUCAUUAACUGAAUCCAUAGGUUAAUGAGGCGAACCGGGGGAACUGAAACAUCUAAGUACCCCGAGGAAAAGAAAUCAACCGAGAUUCCCCCAGUAGCGGCGAGCGAACGGGGAGCAGCCCAGAGCCUGAAUCAGUGUGUGUGUUAGUGGAAGCGUCUGGAAAGGCGCGCGAUACAGGGUGACAGCCCCGUACACAAAAAUGCACAUGCUGUGAGCUCGAUGAGUAGGGCGGGACACGUGGUAUCCUGUCUGAAUAUGGGGGGACCAUCCUCCAAGGCUAAAUACUCCUGACUGACCGAUAGUGAACCAGUACCGUGAGGGAAAGGCGAAAAGAACCCCGGCGAGGGGAGUGAAAAAGAACCUGAAACCGUGUACGUACAAGCAGUGGGAGCACGCUUAGGCGUGUGACUGCGUACCUUUUGUAUAAUGGGUCAGCGACUUAUAUUCUGUAGCAAGGUUAACCGAAUAGGGGAGCCGAAGGGAAACCGAGUCUUAACUGGGCGUUAAGUUGCAGGGUAUAGACCCGAAACCCGGUGAUCUAGCCAUGGGCAGGUUGAAGGUUGGGUAACACUAACUGGAGGACCGAACCGACUAAUGUUGAAAAAUUAGCGGAUGACUUGUGGCUGGGGGUGAAAGGCCAAUCAAACCGGGAGAUAGCUGGUUCUCCCCGAAAGCUAUUUAGGUAGCGCCUCGUGAAUUCAUCUCCGGGGGUAGAGCACUGUUUCGGCAAGGGGGUCAUCCCGACUUACCAACCCGAUGCAAACUGCGAAUACCGGAGAAUGUUAUCACGGGAGACACACGGCGGGUGCUAACGUCCGUCGUGAAGAGGGAAACAACCCAGACCGCCAGCUAAGGUCCCAAAGUCAUGGUUAAGUGGGAAACGAUGUGGGAAGGCCCAGACAGCCAGGAUGUUGGCUUAGAAGCAGCCAUCAUUUAAAGAAAGCGUAAUAGCUCACUGGUCGAGUCGGCCUGCGCGGAAGAUGUAACGGGGCUAAACCAUGCACCGAAGCUGCGGCAGCGACGCUGAUGCGUUGUUGGGUAGGGGAGCGUUCUGUAAGCCUGUGAAGGUGUGCUGUGAGGCAUGCUGGAGGUAUCAGAAGUGCGAAUGCUGACAUAAGUAACGAUAAAGCGGGUGAAAAGCCCGCUCGCCGGAAGACCAAGGGUUCCUGUCCAACGUUAAUCGGGGCAGGGUGAGUCGACCCCUAAGGCGAGGCCGAAAGGCGUAGUCGAUGGGAAACAGGUUAAUAUUCCUGUACUUGGUGUUACUGCGAAGGGGGGACGGAGAAGGCUAUGUUGGCCGGGCGACGGUUGUCCCGGUUUAAGCGUGUAGGCUGGUUUUCCAGGCAAAUCCGGAAAAUCAAGGCUGAGGCGUGAUGACGAGGCACUACGGUGCUGAAGCAACAAAUGCCCUGCUUCCAGGAAAAGCCUCUAAGCAUCAGGUAACAUCAAAUCGUACCCCAAACCGACACAGGUGGUCAGGUAGAGAAUACCAAGGCGCUUGAGAGAACUCGGGUGAAGGAACUAGGCAAAAUGGUGCCGUAACUUCGGGAGAAGGCACGCUGAUAUGUAGGUGAAGUCCCUUGCGGAUGGAGCUGAAAUCAGUCGAAGAUACCAGCUGGCUGCAACUGUUUAUUAAAAACACAGCACUGUGCAAACACGAAAGUGGACGUAUACGGUGUGACGCCUGCCCGGUGCCGGAAGGUUAAUUGAUGGGGUCAGCGCAAGCGAAGCUCUUGAUCGAAGCCCCGGUAAACGGCGGCCGUAACUAUAACGGUCCUAAGGUAGCGAAAUUCCUUGUCGGGUAAGUUCCGACCUGCACGAAUGGCGUAAUGAUGGCCAGGCUGUCUCCACCCGAGACUCAGUGAAAUUGAACUCGCUGUGAAGAUGCAGUGUACCCGCGGCAAGACGGAAAGACCCCGUGAACCUUUACUAUAGCUUGACACUGAACAUUGAGCCUUGAUGUGUAGGAUAGGUGGGAGGCUUUGAAGUGUGGACGCCAGUCUGCAUGGAGCCGACCUUGAAAUACCACCCUUUAAUGUUUGAUGUUCUAACGUUGACCCGUAAUCCGGGUUGCGGACAGUGUCUGGUGGGUAGUUUGACUGGGGCGGUCUCCUCCUAAAGAGUAACGGAGGAGCACGAAGGUUGGCUAAUCCUGGUCGGACAUCAGGAGGUUAGUGCAAUGGCAUAAGCCAGCUUGACUGCGAGCGUGACGGCGCGAGCAGGUGCGAAAGCAGGUCAUAGUGAUCCGGUGGUUCUGAAUGGAAGGGCCAUCGCUCAACGGAUAAAAGGUACUCCGGGGAUAACAGGCUGAUACCGCCCAAGAGUUCAUAUCGACGGCGGUGUUUGGCACCUCGAUGUCGGCUCAUCACAUCCUGGGGCUGAAGUAGGUCCCAAGGGUAUGGCUGUUCGCCAUUUAAAGUGGUACGCGAGCUGGGUUUAGAACGUCGUGAGACAGUUCGGUCCCUAUCUGCCGUGGGCGCUGGAGAACUGAGGGGGGCUGCUCCUAGUACGAGAGGACCGGAGUGGACGCAUCACUGGUGUUCGGGUUGUCAUGCCAAUGGCACUGCCCGGUAGCUAAAUGCGGAAGAGAUAAGUGCUGAAAGCAUCUAAGCACGAAACUUGCCCCGAGAUGAGUUCUCCCUGACUCCUUGAGAGUCCUGAAGGAACGUUGAAGACGACGACGUUGAUAGGCCGGGUGUGUAAGCGCAGCGAUGCGUUGAGCUAACCGGUACUAAUGAACCGUGAGGCUUAACCUUACAACGCCGAAGCUGUU
Molecule: ribosomal RNA, 2930 nt
Filed under: Escherichia coli
Lineage: Bacteria; Pseudomonadati; Pseudomonadota; Gammaproteobacteria; Enterobacterales; Enterobacteriaceae
Description: 23S ribosomal RNA
Rfam family: Bacterial large subunit ribosomal RNA
Source: RNAcentral